Oreochromis niloticus (Nile tilapia) is the source of this 949-nucleotide long non-coding RNA. RefSeq lists it as uncharacterized. Lineage: Eukaryota; Metazoa; Chordata; Actinopteri; Cichliformes; Cichlidae. The transcript is spliced from 3 exons. The record is from RefSeq and is a predicted model, not a curated record.
UCAUCAUCACCAUCAUGAUCAUCUUCUGGUCUCUUAACAUUACACUGCUUCACCAGCUUUCAAUGAGAGCCUGCAUUUACCUAAAAAUAAUUUAUUCUUUUAUUUUAUUCUUUUUUUUAUUAUUAUUAUACAAAAUGUUUUAUUCAGGUCACAGGGUGAUGCUUAAAUCAGUACCAGCUUGCAUUGGACAGAAGACAGGGGAAAACCGGGGACAGUCCCUUGGAACUAUCUUAAAAUAUGAUUAUCGACACAGGAAUGGGGCAGAAAGAGAAGAGAAAAAAAGGAAGACACAAGUGAGCUGGAACGCCGACUCAUGAAGUGCUAACUGACAAAGCUGGAAGAGUAAGAGAGACCGCAGGUAUUUAACUUGACUGAACUUUCCAAAAGGCGACAAAAGGCAGUAUCAAUCCAAGUAAGCUAUAAAUCAGCCUUAAUCUCUCCUUUCCUCACUCUCUGUCUGCUCUACUUAAUUUGAUUUUUUUGUCACUUAAGAAUAAAUGAACACACACAAGCAAAAUUGUCAGUGUGCUGCCAAAAACCUGCACAGAGAUGUCUCAUCCAUCACACACAGGGGAAUAUUUUCCUCCUUAGCAGUUCAAAAAUAACUUGGCCUCCUUGAAGCCAAGAUAGAUUGUUUACCAAAGGCGAACAGGUGGUCUGCCAUGUUGUUAAUUUGUUUUCAUUAAGACAAAUAUUCACUGUUGAUUACUGUGUGCUUUUUCUUACUAUAAAGUAAUGCUGCCCAAACUCGCUGCCUUAGCUUGUGCUUAAUGCUGGGGCCUCUGCUAAAGAGAUGUUUGAAACCAUUUCCCUGCCAAAAAUGUGUUUUAAUGGCGUGGCUGUUCCCUGUGCUGAUAAUGUAAUCUGUCAUAUGUAUACAAAGACUGUCAUUAAUCGUUUCUACAUUUUUUAUGAAUUCAUACAAGCCUGUAGAAAUGCAGCAUACAUG